RNAcentral lists this non-coding RNA (799 nucleotides) under Helicoverpa assulta. The record is from RNAcentral. Lineage: Eukaryota; Metazoa; Arthropoda; Insecta; Lepidoptera; Noctuidae.
AAUAAAAUUUUUUAUGGUUUAAAAAUUUAUUAUAAGUUUAUUUUACAUAUAAAUUUUAGUGUUAAAUAUUAAUUAUUUAAAUAAUAAUUAUUUAUUUUGUAGUAAUUAAUAUUAAAUUAUUUAAGAAAUUAAGAUUUAGUAAUAUUUAAAUUAAUAACAAAUUUUGUGCCAGCAGUUGCGGUUAAACAAAAAUUAAAUUAAAUUUUAUUAGUAAUUAAUUAAUAAAUAUUUUAUAAUAAAAAUUUUAAAUUAUUAAGUGAAAUUUUAAUUUAAUUUAAAUUUAUAUUUUAAAUUUAUGAUUUAAUAAAUUUUAAUAAAAAACUAGGAUUAGAUACCCUAUUAUUAAAAUUUAAAUUUAUAAUACUAAAAUAGUAGGUAAUUAUUUAUUGAAACUUAAAUAAUUUGGCGGUAUUUUAGUUCAUUUAGAGGAAUCUGUUUAAUAAUUGAUAAUCCACGAAUAAAUUUACUUAAUUUAAUAUUUUGUAUAUCGUUGUUAGAAAAAUAUUUUUAAAGAAAAUUAAUAUUUAAAAAUUAUUAAUUAAUUCAAAUCAGAUCAAGAUGCAGAUUAUAAUUAAGAAUAUAAUGGAUUACAAUAAAUUUAUUUAUAUGAAUAUUAAUUUGUAAUAAUUAAUUGAAGGUGGAUUUAAAUGUAAUUUUAUUUAAUUUAUUAAAAUGAUUAAAAAUUAAAAUAUGUACAUAUUGCCCGUCACUUUCAUAUAAAAUAAUUAUAAGUUUAAUUAUAAUAAAUUGAAAUAAGUCGUAACAAAGUAGAGGUACUGGAAAGUGUUUCUAGAAAGAA